GGGGUGUGCGUCAUGGAGACGGCGGAGCCUCCAAAACUCCUGCGAGAAGGUUCGAUUCCUUCACGCCCCG
RNAcentral lists this transfer RNA (70 nucleotides) under Sorangium cellulosum So ce56. RNAcentral describes it as "tRNA-Trp (CCA) (tRNA-Trp-CCA-2-1)". It matches the Rfam family "tRNA". Rfam says of the family: Transfer RNA (tRNA) molecules are approximately 80 nucleotides in length. The record is from RNAcentral. Lineage: Bacteria; Pseudomonadati; Myxococcota; Polyangiales; Polyangiaceae. RNAcentral also lists the same sequence under 10 other names.